This is a long non-coding RNA of Pezoporus occidentalis (night parrot), 344 nucleotides long. RefSeq lists it as uncharacterized. The transcript is spliced from 3 exons. The record is from RefSeq and is a predicted model, not a curated record. Lineage: Eukaryota; Metazoa; Chordata; Aves; Psittaciformes; Psittacidae.
CCAGCACAUUGAAGUGUCUUUGACAGUGAGCAUCAUUCUCCCCAUCAGUUCUGGAAGGGGAACACGGGAGAAUUCAGAUGGAUGAUACGAAACAACCUGGCAUCUCUCUGCAGGUAUCUCCAUGGGCUUGGCAGGUAUGACACAGGAUGCACAGGAGUCCUAUAUCCCUUUGGGACUGCAGCUGGAGGUCAUAUGUGUGUUAGUUAUCGCAUGAAUCAAAAUUGAGUUUUAAGAGUCCUGCACUUCUCUUGGAUGGAAGUUUGCGUGUCAAAGUGACUGGAAGGAUUUUCCUAGCUCUCAGUGGGACUGGACUGCAUCCCUUGUGAAGCCCAGUUCCCCAGCCG